This 253-nucleotide ribosomal RNA is filed under the name uncultured bacterium. RNAcentral describes it as "partial 16S ribosomal RNA". It matches the Rfam family "Bacterial small subunit ribosomal RNA", at positions 524 to 776 of the family's 1533-position model. The record is from RNAcentral.
UACGUAGGGGGCAAGCGUUGUCCGGAAUCAUUGGGCGUAAAGCGCGUGUAGGCGGCUUGGUAAGUCCGCUCUGAAAGCCCGGGGCUCAACCCCGGGAGGCGGGUGGAUACUGUCAAGCUCGAGUCCGGAAGAGGCGAGUGGAAUUCCUGGUGUAGCGGUGAAAUGCGCAGAUAUCAGGAAGAACACCCGUGGCGAAAGCGGCUCUCUGGAACGGUACUGACGCUGAGACGCGAAAGCGUGGGGAGCGAACAGG